GACGAACGCUGGCGGCGUGCUUAACACAUGCAAGUCGAACGGAAAGGCCCUGCUUUUGUGGGGUGCUCGAGUGGCGAACGGGUGAGUAACACGUGAGUAACCUGCCCUUGACUUUGGGAUAACUUCAGGAAACUGGGGCUAAUACCGGAUAGGAGCUCCUGCUGCAUGGUGGGGGUUGGAAAGCUUCGGCGGUUGGGGAUGGACUCGCGGCUUAUCAGCUUGUUGGUGGGGUAGUGGCUUACCAAGGCUUUGACGGGUAGCCGGCCUGAGAGGGUGACCGGCCACAUUGGGACUGAGAUACGGCCCAGACUCCUACGGGAGGCAGAAGUGGGGAAUAUUGCACAAUGGGCGGAAGCCUGAUGCAGCAACGCCGCGUGCGGGAUGACGGCCUUCGGGUUGUAAACCGCUUUCGCCUGUGACGAAGCGUGAGUGACGGUAAUGGGUAAAGAAGCACCGGCUAACUACGUG
Molecule: ribosomal RNA, 468 nt
Filed under: uncultured bacterium
Lineage: Bacteria
Description: partial 16S ribosomal RNA
Rfam family: Bacterial small subunit ribosomal RNA
Source: RNAcentral